This 284-nucleotide long non-coding RNA is filed under the name Mytilus galloprovincialis (Mediterranean mussel). The record is from RNAcentral. Lineage: Eukaryota; Metazoa; Mollusca; Bivalvia; Mytilida; Mytilidae.
AAAGGCAGUGGCGUAGCUAGGCGGAAGCUCGGAAGCCAAGGCUUCAACAUCGUUUUGUCAAAACAAAAAAAUCAUAAUAAAAAAAAUUUAAAAAAAAAACGAGCUAGAGGUAUGAGAGAGAGGGAGGAGACUCCGAGUGAGAGAAAGUGAAGGGAAAAAUAAAUGGGCACUGUGCGGUUAAAUAAACAAAAAGUUGUAGAAGUCAACGAGUCGAUAUCACUUCUCAGACUCUCGGCGUUCGUUCCCAUUACCAGCGCUUUAUUUCCCCUCUUUUUAUAGGAGAC